Molecule: RNase P RNA, 386 nt
Filed under: Pseudomonadota bacterium
Lineage: Bacteria; Pseudomonadati; Pseudomonadota
Description: Proteobacteria bacterium (marine metagenome) RNase P RNA component class A
Rfam family: Bacterial RNase P class A
About the family: Ribonuclease P (RNase P) is a ubiquitous endoribonuclease, found in archaea, bacteria and eukarya as well as chloroplasts and mitochondria. Its best characterised activity is the generation of mature 5'-ends of tRNAs by cleaving the 5'-leader elements of precursor-tRNAs.
Source: RNAcentral
CAAGUUGGCCGGGUGACCGCUGCUACCUAUACCGUAAUUCGGUGCAGUAGCAGAGGAAAGUCCGGGCUCCAUAGGAUAGAGUGCCAGGUAACGCCUGGGGAGCGAGAGCUUACGGAAAGUGCCACAGAAAAUAUACCGCCAAUCUGAUUGGUAAGGGUGAAAUGGUGCGGUAAGAGCGCACCGCGUCGGUUAAAUGCCGGUGGCAGGGUAAACCCCACUCGGAGCAAGACCAAAUAGGGAAACAUCUCGGUUCGCCGAGAAUACGUCAUCCGCGUUAGUUUUCGGGUAGGUCGCUUCAGGCGCUUGGUGACAAGCGUCGCAGAUGAAUGGUCACCGCACUGUGUUUCACAGUAGUACAGAACCCGGCUUAUAGGCCAACUUGCUUU